AGGCACUCUGACUGUACCAAAUGUUUUCCGCAACCCAUUGAUGUUAUCGGGUACGUGCCGAUAUCGGUCGUGUCUCUGGGAGACGGGACUAUCUAAUUAUAAAGGAAAAGCCCCUUCGUUACAGUAAUGAAGCAGAAUUAGGAAGAAGCAGAGGAGGAAACGAAGGAGAAAGGAGGGAGCAGGUGCUGAGAAUAGCACCUUUUGUCUGCAUUAUGGGUGCCUCUCAUUUUCGUAUUCUUCCAACUUCAAGGCCAAUUUGGAUCAGAAAACCUAAGGAAUUAUGCAGUCCAUGUAAUGUCAACUUCUCAUAAUAAGAGUAUAUGACGAGAAGACAUAGGAGAAGAAUCAGGCCAUUCAGUGCAUUGAGUCUGUUCCACCAUUCUAUCAUGGCUGACUUAUUAUUCCUUCCAACCUAAUUUUCCAACCUACUCUCCAUAAUGUUCGAUGCCCUGACUGUUCAAGAGCCUAUGAACCUCCACUUUAAAUAUACUCAGUGACUUGGCCUCCACAGCCAACUGUGGCAAUGAAUACAACUACCCUCUGGCUGAAUAAAUUACUCCUCAUCUCUGUUCUAAAUGGACACCCCUCUAUUCUGAGUUUGUGCUCUCUGAUCCUAGACUCACCAACUAUAGGAAAUAUCUUCUCCACAUCUACUCUAUCCAGACCUUUCAAUGUUCGGUAGAUUUCAGAGAUCCCCCACCCCCUCCCAUUAUU
This is a long non-coding RNA of Hypanus sabinus (Atlantic stingray), 714 nucleotides long. RefSeq lists it as uncharacterized. The transcript has 2 exons. Lineage: Eukaryota; Metazoa; Chordata; Chondrichthyes; Myliobatiformes; Dasyatidae. The record is from RefSeq and is a predicted model, not a curated record.